UACGUAGGGACCAAGCGUUGUUCGGAUUUACUGGGCGUAAAGGGCGCGUAGGCGGCAAUUCAAGUCAGCUGUGAAAUCUCCGGGCUUAACUCGGAACGGUCAGCUGAUACUGCUUUGCUAGAGUGCGGAAGGGGCAAUCGGAAUUCUCGGUGUAGCGGUGAAAUGCGUAGAUAUCGAGAGGAACACCUGAGGUGAAGACGGGUUGCUGGGCCGACACUGACGCUGAGGCGCGAAGGCCAGGGUAGCAAACGGG
RNAcentral lists this ribosomal RNA (253 nucleotides) under uncultured bacterium. Its description in RNAcentral is "partial 16S ribosomal RNA". It matches the Rfam family "Bacterial small subunit ribosomal RNA", at positions 524 to 776 of the family's 1533-position model. The record is from RNAcentral.